AGCAGCCGCGGUAAUUCCAGCUCCAAUAGCGUAUAUUAAAGUUGUUGCAGUUAAAAAGCUCGUAGUUGAAUUUCGGGGUCAGUAGGUUGGUCGUGCCACCGGUACGUACUGGUCUCACUGAUUCCUCCUUCCUGAUGAGCUGUAAUGCCAUUAAUUUGGUGUUGCAGGGAAUCUGGACUGUUACUUUGAAAAAUUAGAGUAGUUUAAAGCAGGCUAACGCUUGAAUACAUUAGCAUGGAAUAAUGAAAUAGGACGUUCGAUCCUAUUUUGUUGGUUUCUAGGAUUGACGUAAUGAUUAAUAGGGAUAGUUGGGGGCAUUAGUAUUCAAUUGUCAGAGGUGAAAUUCUUGGAUUUAUUGAAGACUAACUACUGCGAAAGCAUUUGCCAAGGAUGUUUUCAUUAAUACAAGAACGAAAGUUAGGGGAUCGAAGACGAUCAGAUACCGUCGUAGUCUUAACCAUAAACUACGACCGACUAGGAAUCAGACGAUGUUAAUUUUUAAUGUACUCGUUUGGCUACC
This 520-nucleotide ribosomal RNA is filed under the name uncultured Glomus. RNAcentral's name for it is "SSU rRNA". It matches the Rfam family "Eukaryotic small subunit ribosomal RNA", at positions 569 to 1088 of the family's 1831-position model. The record is from RNAcentral. Lineage: Eukaryota; Fungi; Glomeromycota; Glomeromycetes; Glomerales; Glomeraceae.